This is a long non-coding RNA of Poecilia reticulata (guppy), 643 nucleotides long. RefSeq lists it as uncharacterized. The record is from RefSeq and is a predicted model, not a curated record. NCBI's taxonomy places the organism in Eukaryota, Metazoa, Chordata, Actinopteri, Cyprinodontiformes, Poeciliidae.
UCUUCAAAAGAUUUGUUAUGUUGUUUUCAUUUGAAAAGUUCAGGGUGUCUUCACACUCAGAAGAGGUCAUAAAAUUUAAAAUCUUUUUUUUUCCUUAAAAUGUUGAUGUAGCCAUCUUCCCAGACAAGCAGGUCCCCUGUCUAAAGGGUGACAUAGAUCUGCCAUCAGACAGACAGAGAGAAAGGCAAGCAGGCACCAAGGUCUCUUGUGGUUGCCACACAGGACUAGUCCAGAACCUCCUGUCCUCAUCCCCCCACUGUCCUCGCUAUCGUCCUUUGUUUCUGUUUGGUGAACCCAAGGGUUCGGGUUAAUGAAAAGGGCUUGGACAACCGAGUGGAGCGACAGUCAUCUCCCAGUUAACUCGAUUCACCUCCAGCCUUCAGAGACCUUUUCUCCGUGACAGCCUCCCCACCAUGUCGGCCUCUGUCCCCCAGGUCGCUCUGUGCUGCCUGUUGGCCGCCGUAGCUUUGGAAGAAGUGUCUGGAGUGUUGGAGCCUCUUUUUUUUUUUUUUUGGAUGAUGAAAAGAAUGCAUGAGAGCUGGUUCUCCAAAAGCCUCGCAACUUAUGCAGAGAAGCUUGAUUGCCUUCAGGUCGUGUCAAGGAGCAGGCAGACCGAAAAUAAAGAUCAGCUUCACACCCUGAA